Molecule: long non-coding RNA, 323 nt
Organism: Erpetoichthys calabaricus (reedfish)
Lineage: Eukaryota; Metazoa; Chordata; Cladistia; Polypteriformes; Polypteridae
Exons: 3
Source: RefSeq, a predicted model, not a curated record
GGAGAGCAAUGCUGAGCUGGGUGUUUGCAGCAAGGAUGUAAAAGCUGUGCCUUAACUGGUUGGUUUUAUGGUCUUCACUACAACGCAUUCAGCUGUAACUCUUCUCCAUCAGAGCCAUCUUACUCCGAAUGAUUUUUCGCUAUUGCAUACUGAAAAGUAGUGGAAAAGACGGCCAUUCAUUUAAACGGAUAUGCUGGCGUAAAUGCAGGAAGUGUUUGAAGAGCUGCAUCUGCCUCAAUUUCACUCCGUGUCUUUCCCGUUUACCUCACUCUUGGGACAUUGUGAUUGGGAGACUUUGUAAGUUUGUCAGUAUUUCAAUAAAU